Molecule: ribosomal RNA, 442 nt
Filed under: uncultured bacterium
Lineage: Bacteria
Description: partial 16S ribosomal RNA
Rfam family: Bacterial small subunit ribosomal RNA
Source: RNAcentral
CCUACGGGAGGCAGCAGUGGGGAAUAUUGGGCAAUGGGCGCAAGCCUGACCCAGCAACGCCGCGUGAAGGAAGAAGGCUUUCGGGUUGUAAACUUCUUUUAAGAGGGAAGAGCAGAAGACGGUACCUCUUGAAUAAGCCACGGCUAACUACGUGCCAGCAGCCGCGGUAAUACGUAGGUGGCAAGCGUUGUCCGGAUUUACUGGGUGUAAAGGGCGUGCAGCCGGGAAGACAAGUCAGAUGUGAAAUCCCGCGGCUCAACCGCGGAACUGCAUUUGAGACUGGUUUUCUUGAGUACCGGAGAGGUCAUCGGAAUUCGUGGUGUAGCGGUGAAAUGCGUAGAUAUAAGGAAGAACACCAGUGGCGAAGGCAGAUGACUGGACGGCAACUGACGGUGAGGCGCGAAAGCGUGGGGAGCAAACAGGAUUAGAUACCCCAGUAGUC